AACGCUGGCGGCGUGCCUAACACAUGCAAGUCGAACGAAGCACUGUGAAAAGAGACUUCGGUCAAUGGACACUUGACUAGUGGCGGACGGGUGAGUAAUGCAUGAGCAAUCUGCCCUGGAGUGGGGGACGACAGUUGGAAACGACUGCUAAUACCGCAUGAAGUUCCGGGAGGGCAUCCUCCUGAAACCAAAGAUUUAUCGCUCUGGGAUGAGCUCAUGUCUGAUUAGCCAGUUGGCGGGUAACGGCCCACCAAAGCUACGAUCAGUAGCCGGACUGAGAGGUUGAACGGCCACAUUGGGACUGAGAUACGGCCCAGACUCCUACGGGAGGCAGCAGUGGGGAAUAUUGGGCAAUGGGGCCGCAAGCCUGACCCAGCAACGCCGCGUGAAGGAAGAAGGCUUUCGGGUUGUAAACUUCUUUUACCAGGGACGAAGAAAGUGACGGUACCUGGAGAAUAAGCCACGGCUAACUACGUGCCAGCCGCCGC
RNAcentral lists this ribosomal RNA (488 nucleotides) under uncultured bacterium. RNAcentral describes it as "bacterial SSU rRNA". It matches the Rfam family "Bacterial small subunit ribosomal RNA", at positions 32 to 518 of the family's 1533-position model. The record is from RNAcentral.